Mus musculus (house mouse) is the source of this 6669-nucleotide long non-coding RNA. RefSeq annotates it as predicted gene 13569. The record is from RefSeq and is a predicted model, not a curated record. The transcript has 2 exons. NCBI's taxonomy places the organism in Eukaryota, Metazoa, Chordata, Mammalia, Rodentia, Muridae.
GUGUUUUGCUUUUUAUUUUCGAUCUACAGCUAAACCAUCUCGGUCAUUUCCAUCUUCACAGAGAAAAAUACACAGAAGAAAAAAAUGAGCAUCACAGCUCAAGAGAUCCAAGUGAAGCUAUGACAGAAACUGAAUGGCACAUGGACAUCGAAUGAAUGAGCUGAAUGGACUCAACUCAUUUCCUCAUGCUUCAUGCCCAUUGAUACCAUAAGUCUUAAGAAAAGACUCUCACCAGCAGCUCAACUGUCAUCUGCUUCAGAGGACUCAUUCUGCUCUAAAAGAGAUUUGCCCAUUAUCUAUAUCUAUAUCAUCUAUCUCUAUAUCAUCUCUAUCUCUAUCUCUAUCUAUAUCUUUAUCUCUAUCUCUAUCACCUAUCUAUCUAUCUAUCUAUCUAUCUAUCUAUCUAUCUAUCUAUCUAUCUAUCUAUCUAUCUAUCAUCUAUCUAUAUCUUCCAGCUAUACUCCUACAACAAGACUUCAUCCUCAUCUCUCCCUUGUGUGGAUCAUGACUUCAUUCUCUGAAAUCACAAGACAACAACACUGUCACCAACUCUGUAAGUUUCAUGUGACCAUGGAUAUACUGCACUCUAGCUCCCAAGAUAAAGCUUACUUGAGGCUUGCCUCUCUUAUACUCAAGGGCUCCCUGCCCCGUUUCCUUAUCAAGCAUGUCACAGAAUGCGCAGAAUAUUUUCAGACCAACUCACCAUCUGGAUUAAUACAAAUACCAAAUUGCAAAAGUCUGAAUGAGUGAAGUGUUAAGGCUUUAUUACAGUUGUAUUGUCUUACCUUCCUAUCCAAUUUGACGCUACUGAAUCACGAUCCAUUGAAGUCUCUGGCACUAAUUUAAUUUCCGACCCUCUGUCUACCACUGGCAUGAGGUAGGCCCUUGGGCAGUUUAAGCUCCUGACCUACUUGAGCAUUUCUUUUGUGCUCUGGAAGGUAUCACAGUUGAGAAAUCACUUUAAACUCUAGAACAGUCCGUUAAUCAUUGUGGCUCCCAGGGCUUUCUUGGUGCUUUUGAAAUGGAAGUAGAACCGACACAAAUAAAACACAUGGGGAACUUUUAUUGCAGAAAUCAUGAGGGUGGGUCAAGAAGAAACACAUUCUAAGUUUAUGUUUGUAGCAAUGGCUCAAUUAUUGGAAAAGUAUUUUCCUGAUGGAGAGCCUAGUGCCCUCUCUUAGAAGGGGAGGAAUGAUUCUCUACAGGGCCUCUUUUACACUAUCGAAAAGGGCACUGGGAUAUUGAACUCAUAUUAAAUGCUUGUUGGUGUGUUGAAUUAACCAUACCUUUUAAAACAAACAGUUCCCAUCAUUUGUUAGCUAAGUAUGCAUAGUAGUAAGCUCUAGCCCAUGCUGUUGGAAUAUCAGAGUUUGAAUUUCUGUUGAGGUGGAAGGUUUAUGAACUUUGCAUAUUCUUUGUUCUUUGGGGUUUGUUUGUUUGCUUUUGGGUUUUUUUUUUUUUUGGUUUUUGUUUUUUUUGGUUUUUUCAAGACAGGAUUUCUCUGUGUAGCCCUGGCUGUCCUGGAACUCACUUUGUAGACCAGGCUGUCCUCGAACUCAAAAAUCCGCCUGACUCUGCCUCCCAAGUGCUGCAAAGGCGUGCGCCACCACCGCCUGGUGAACUUUGCAUAUUCUUAUAGGUUUCAAGUAAGCAUAUGAAUUUAUUGACAAGAGUAAGGGGUCAGUACAUAAAGCAGAACUAAAGAUCCAAACAAGGGAAUAAUUAACUUUCAUAAUUUCAGCCUAAUUUGAGUAAUGUUACUUCUUUUCAACUUUUAUAAAUGAGAAGCUAUCCUAUUUCCUCUCUUAGCCAAAAGAAACUUGAGGAGGAAAGACUUACAGAAGCUUACAGCCUGUCAUUGGUGGAAAUCAAGGCAGUAAAGCAAAGUAGAAACCUGGAGGUAGGAACUAAAGAAACUGUUGCUACUGGCUUGAUCCUCUACAGCUUGCUCAAACUGUAUUUUUAUGCCACCCAGGACUACCUACCAAGGGAUGGCACUACCCUACAUAGACUGUUCCCCCCUACAGCACUGUUAAUCAAGAAAAUGCCUCAAAUACUUUCCCACAGGCCAUUCUGAUGGAAGAACAUUCUCAAUUGAGAAAUAAAAUUUGUUAGACUUGUGUAUACUGAUGAACUAAGUAUGCAAAAAAAAUUAUUUGAAGAAACUCAGUAAGUUAUUUGUCUCUACUCCACCCACUCCCAGUGUGUGUGUGUGUGUGUGUGUGUGUGUGUGUGUGUAUGUGUGUGUGUGUAUGUGUGUGUAUGUAUCUGUGCAUGUGUGCGUGCAUGUGUGUGUAUAUGUGUGUGCAUGUGUAUGCGUGUGUGCAUGUGUGUGUAUAUGUGUGUGCAUGUGUGUAUGUGUAUGUGCAUGUGUAUUUGUGUGUGUAUGUGUGCAUUCAUGUGUGUGUGUGUAUGUGUGUGUGCAUGUGUGCAUCCAUGUGUGUGUGUGUAUGUGUGUGUGCUGCUUAUGAUUACAUCACUGGAGAGUAUGACUGGAUGUCAAGAGCUAGAGAGAAGUGACUUUUCUAUUAACUUGGAUGUGCUUUUAAUGAAGACUUGUCAAGAUUCCCCACCAAUGACCUUCCUCUCUUGACUUUUUUUUUUAAGAACCAAACUAAGUGCAGACCCAUCUUUGAGAUAAGUGGAGGAACUUAUUUUAAUUUCUACUUCAUGUCAAUGUCAUCCUGGAUAGUAUUGGAAGGUUUGGAAAAUUUAACCUGAUAUUUUGUAGUGAAACAUCUCUCAAAGGAUCCCAGCAUUUCCCAAGGUUUUAAUGAAGCUAUUUUAAGACAUUAGGAAAGAAAAGAAAACCUGUAGUUGAAGGCAGACACUAAAUUAAGUGCUAAAUCUGAGUUCACUUUACUUAAAAUAGGAAUUCUGCUUUUCAAACACAAGGCAUAUUGAAAUACUACUAUUUAAAUAGAUAUGUAUGCUAUGUACACAGCUUCUUAGUGUUCUGAAUGCGGCCCGCAUUGUAAAUAGUUCAAUGUUCAGUAAACAAAGGCAGCCCAAUAAAUUCAUAAAUGUGAUUUGAAUUUUGAGAAAUACUAAUUUUCUCAGAGAAGACUGAUUUACUUAACUCCUAAAGGUAAAGAAAUGCUAAUAAUUUGACAGUGAUAUUAAAUGUACCUAAAGAAGGUGGAGACACGGACAACAGAGAGCCUGUCAACAGAACUAAGAAGCUUUUCUUCUGAACUGUAUCUUUCGUCUUACUUGAUAAAUGUUCCCUCCUUUUUCCAUGUUCCCUUGAAUUAAAAAAAAAAUCUUCAUUUGAGUUAAUGAGUUUCUCCUUCUAGAUGCAAACAUAUCCCACUGAGAAUAAAAUCCUAUUUUUCAUGCAGGUUUUUAUAUGAAAUGCUUCAAUCAAAUUAGCAGCCUUAGGGAAACACAGAUUUUUAAAAUUAUGAUGGGAAGCCAGACAAAAUUCCAACCUGGAAAGAGGAAGAUGGUAUGAGGUACCAUUCCUAGCUAAGGAGCUAUUGACAAGUGAUAGAUACUGGAUGAUGGAAGGUGCCCGUUGAACUGAACGGGCUUAGAAACAAAACCAAAAUACAUAAAUGAGUACACAAAGGGAAUGGAUCUUGGAGGAGCUAGAGACUGAAUAUUAUAAAAUGGUAUGAUGUUCUCCAAGAAUUGAUGAAAUAAAGAGGAAAAGAAAGUACACUUACAAUUCACUAAGUUACAUUAAGACAUCUAGAUAAUCUAUCAGGAGGCCAUGUGUAAGGACUGGAUGUGUUGGAAAGAAAAACCAACAUGGAAGUGUGUUAUUUUGUAGAGCAGGGAGUUUCUAAGGGUACCAGAGAAGGAAACAGGAAAUGGGAAAUAGAAACUUGGUCCAAAGAGUAGCUGUCAUUUGCUACCUUUUCCAUAGUACCUCCAAUCACUCAUUUUGAAGAAUCUCAGCUUUGAAUUCUCCCUGCUGAGGCCUACAUUAGGCUAGAGUCUUCCAUCUUCUUCCCUUCUUCAUGGUUCACUGUGAAUACCACUUCCUCUGGCAUGCUAGACUAAAUUUUCCUGUCUGUUAAUGAGAGUCCACUCUGUCUGUCAAACUAUAACUUUGUUUUACUUGGACAUAUGUUCUUUUACUUUUUCUAUUUUUGUCUAGUCAACUAGAUGGCAGUGGUUUUUUUUUCAUACCGCUGUAACCAGCAUUUACAGUGAAACACCUUGUUUGGAGAGAGCACUCUAGAGACAGCUAGACUCUGUUUUGCUCAAGAACUGAAACUAAUGAUUCAUUGAGUGUCUAUAAUGGGGAAGAUUUUUGUACUAUCUUACAACCUAAAAAUAUAAGAAAAGAUAGAAUGGACAAUGAAGAGGAUUGUUGGUCUUGUAUCAUAAAUUUGAUAACAAAAAAACUUGAGGCUUAGCUUACUAUUCUCCUAAAAAUAGGUUUAUCUAAUAUGCUUAUAAAGAAGAGUGUUUUUGCUAAUUUUAUGACUCACCUCACUGGUAACAAGAAGAAUGUAAGGACAGAAUCAAUAAAGUCAUCAGCAGAAGUAACUUAUAUGCCUCUUAUUGAGUCUACUUAUUAUAAUUUAGUAAAGAUUAUAUGAAUUGAAAUAUGAUUUUAUUAAUUUACCUUUAUACUUUCCCAUGAUUGUCAAGACUAUACUAUGCAUAUGACACUGUAGUUACUUUAAUUAUUCAUUGAUAAAUGAGAACUAUGUUGAGUUGUUUGGGCUAUGUGUAUAAAAAGUAUUAAGACAAACUUGACAGAGGUUUUCACAAGGCCUCAACCCUAGACAAAGAACUACAGACAACUAAGUCAACCUGGGUACAGGAGAGGUGACCUUCCUAUAGAAAAGCAAACCAAUUGCUUGUUCAGUGUCAAAUGGUCAGACUUGAAAACACAUAUACAGGUAGCAUUUUAUAGACUUAACAUUUCAUAUUUAGAAACAUAUUUUGUAUGAAUGAAUGUGUAUGGGAUUUUGUGUGUGCAUGCAUGCAUGAGUUUGUGUGUGUGCAUGUAUGUGUGUAUGCAUGCAUGUGCAUGCAAUAUCAAUUAGUGAAUAUAUAAAAGAGACCAUGAUCUUGAAAGGCAAGAGUGGGAAGGAAUGUCAAAGGAUUUAUAACAGUUGUUCUCAACCUUCCUAAUGCUGUGACCCUUUAAUACAAGUCCUCAUGUUGUGGUGACCCCAAGCAUAAAAUCAUUUCAUCCCUACUUCACAAUUGUAAUUUUGCUACUGUUAUGAGUCAUAAUGUAAAUAUCUGAUAUGUAGGAUAUCUGAUAUCUGACCUCUAUGAAAGGGUCCAUUUCAGACACAAGUUGAGAACCACUGGUCUAGAGAAAGAAAGGAAAGGGAUGAACAUAAUGGAAUUAGAUUAUAAUCUCAAAAAUUAUAAAGGAAUGGCUCCCCAGAAAUUAAGUUAUCUCCCAAUUAUAAUCCCAUCACUCAAGGUAUUGAUAAGGAAAUGAAAAUGAUUCAGCAUGUAUAUAAAUACAGGUAAAUUCCCUAAUAUGAUUUUAUCCAUGUAUUUACCUGUUUAUUUCCCAUCAUUAUCACUCUAUAGCCAUCUACAAAUAGAUAUAACAUAUCAUGGGUAUAAGCUGUAGAAGAUAAGAAAUCGAAAGAAAAUUCUUUGGACACUGGAAAUUAGGUACAAACUGUGAAGCUUGCCAAAUGUACUUGGAUCUAGACCUCAUAAAUAGGACAGAUUUGAUAGAGAGAAGGACAUGAUGUUGUUAACCUAACAAUAAACAACAGCCAAGAUUGUAGUCAUCUCAUCAUCAGAACAAAGGGCAAAGGAGACUGUUGGACCACCCUAAAUUUUUGUUGACAAGGAGCCAGAGGGUAGUGACAGGCAAGAGAUGGACAGGUUGGGUCAUGUAAGAAUACUUCGAGGUGAGAUAGAUGGAAGCAUCCUUUUCAGCAUGUGUAUAUGUUUGAUUGUUUUUCAGGACGACAAGAAGAAUUGAUGCUACAUGUUACAUUAAAGUGGGGUUCAAGUGGGUAAAAGUUAUACAAAGUUCAAAUAAAGUUAAACAAAGGAGUUAACCUAUUAUUUAAAAAAAAGUUGUGCUGGGAAUAAGGGCUGCAAACAAUGCUAAUACUUGGAAACAGCCACAUUAAGUUUCCUGGUUGAGCUAGAUUCAAGGUGCACCAGGUCACUCAGGCUAAGCAUUAAACCAGAGCAAGAGAAGAGAACGGUAUUACUGGUGUGUGGCGUUUCCUAUGGCUACCGAACCCUGGGAAAUUGAAAGUGUUUCAGAAGUAGGUUCUACUAAUCUUUACACAUUAAUCUGGAGUCUUUUCUUCCUAUACUGGAUAGCUAUAUGUCUAAAACAGUUUCACUAUAAAUUUUAACAUCUGCACUUGAUACUUUCAGGGAUAUUUUCUGAAUGCUAAAUGUCAACGGAAUAUAAUUACAUCCCGGCUAUUAGCAAGUUAAUUUUCACCUGUUGUAACUGAAAAUUCUAGGAACUGUUAUGCACCAGUAAUUAUGUUCUGAAUUUAUUUUCUGGGGCUGAAGAGGAGAUGGGACCUUAAUUAAUAAGGAAUUAAGUUUUCAUAAACUAAGGAAAUGAAAGUAAAAUGUUAUAGAAUGGAUGGCAAUCUCUCAACUAUGAUCUCAAAUUUCAUUCUGGAAUUUUAUAUUUCUUUCAAUCAGCUAAUUUAGUAUUUCUAGUGGGUGGGAAACAGAUGUGGAUAUUAAACUAAUUUAUUCAUA